AUGACAUGAUGGAGAAGAAAUACAUCUGCCUUCAUAUUCUUACAGCAUGUUUUAUAUAUACCUCGGCUAAGAUCAUUUUAAAACAGCCUGAUGUGCUCCAAGCGAAACCCGGUGAAAGUGUUCAGCUGAAAUGUGCAGUCGAAGGAUUCACCCUUAGUAGCACCUGGAUGGCUUGGAUGCGACAGGCACCCGGGAAAUCACUAGAAUGGCUAAUUUACUACUACGGCUCAGGGAGCGAGUACUAUAACAGUGC
This is a long non-coding RNA of Erpetoichthys calabaricus (reedfish), 253 nucleotides long. RefSeq lists it as uncharacterized. The record is from RefSeq and is a predicted model, not a curated record. Lineage: Eukaryota; Metazoa; Chordata; Cladistia; Polypteriformes; Polypteridae. The transcript is spliced from 2 exons.